AUUGAACGCUGGCGGCAGGCUUAACACAUGCAAGUCGAGCGGAGAGAGGUAGCUUGCUACUGAUCUUAGCGGCGGACGGGUGAGUAAUGCUUAGGAAUCUGCCUAUUAGUGGGGGACAACAUUUCGAAAGGAAUGCUAAUACCGCAUACGUCCUGCGGGAGAAAGCAGGGGAUCUUCGGACCUUGCGCUAAUAGAUGAGCCUAAGUCGGAUUAGCUAGUUGGUGGGGUAAAGGCCUACCAAGGCGACGAUCUGUAGCGGGUCUGAGAGGAUGAUCCGCCACACUGGGACUGAGACACGGCCCAGACUCCUACGGGAGGCAGCAGUGGGGAAUAUUGGACAAUGGGCGCAAGCCUGAUCCAGCCAUGCCGCGUGUGUGAAGAAGGCCUUAUGGUUGUAAAGCACUUUAAGCGAGGAGGAGGCUACUUUAGUUAAUACCUAGAGAUAGUGGACGUUACUCGCAGAAUAAGCACCGGCUAACUCUGUGCCAGCAGCCGCCGUAA
This 501-nucleotide ribosomal RNA is filed under the name uncultured bacterium. RNAcentral describes it as "partial 16S ribosomal RNA". It matches the Rfam family "Bacterial small subunit ribosomal RNA", at positions 30 to 523 of the family's 1533-position model. The record is from RNAcentral.